UCCCUGGUGGCUCAGUGGUAGAAGAAUCUGCCUGGCAAUGCAGAAGGCCUGGGUUCAAUCCCUGGUCUGGGAC
Molecule: transfer RNA, 73 nt
Filed under: Bos taurus (domestic cattle)
Lineage: Eukaryota; Metazoa; Chordata; Mammalia; Artiodactyla; Bovidae
Also listed under: 2 other names
Rfam family: tRNA
About the family: Transfer RNA (tRNA) molecules are approximately 80 nucleotides in length. Their secondary structure includes four short double-helical elements and three loops (D, anti-codon, and T loops).
Source: Rfam by way of RNAcentral